GGGGCAGGGCGGGCUUCCUGCGCAUAGGUCUACGGUGACGGUCUUGACGUCAAGUCGGGGCAGAAAUUAAAAUCUCGUAUUUGAGUGCGCAUGCACGUGGGUUGGUUUACGAACCCAGGGGUAAACAAACGCUUCACUUUUAAAUAUCGGCUUCCCGUCCAGUGUAUAAUCGUUAGGCAAUCAUAACAUACAUUGAUUCUCGUGGAAAAGUGAAAAUUACAGGUCAUGACUCCUUUAAGGGAACCGAACAGAGCAUAGACAGGACCUCAGUGAUGCAUUGAUGUGGAUGGGUCUGCAUCAAAAACAUUUUUUGGCCACAUAAAGUCUGAUCAAAAAAGCACUUUACCUGUAGAGUGUGUAUCACAACUGGGAGAGUGCUAAGCAUUGUCUGCAGGUAAUACACUGACUAGACGCAAGAACCUCAACCUCACUUUGAAAAUACUGUAGUAUCUCUUUUUGAGUCCCAGAAUGAAAUGUUUAAUUAUUAUAUAUUAUUGUAGGAAGAGGAGUGUUUGCCACACACCCCAUUGAACCCGGGGACUUCGUGUUGGAGUACAGGGGUAAACUCCUCACACAGGAGGAAUGCAAGUCAAGAAAAUACUCAGAGAUUGAAAGCACAUUUCUCUUUGACUUUCAGUGGCAGAAUCAUCACUUAUGCCUGGAUGCAUCUGAAGAAGAUGGAUCUCUCGGAAGAUUGGUCAAUGACAACCACAAAAAUCCAAAUUGCGUUAUGAAAUAAAUCAUAGUUGACGACAAACCACAUUUGUGCCUUUUUUCUCUGAAGAAAAUAGAAAUAGGAGAUGAAAUUGAUUACAACUAUGGUGAUUCAAAAUGGCCUUGGCGCAGUAAGUUGAAAAAAACCCAAGCUCCAGCCGCAGCAGUAGAGAAUGAGACCAGCCCUGUUCCUCAGAUGCUAAAUGAUGGACCAAACCCAGAUCAGACCUGCACAAAGGUAAAAGUACAUUCAAACACAUUCAUCUAUGCUGACAUGUCUGUGGUGGUGUUCUAUUACUAAAGUGGACCAAUGCUUUUGUGGCUUUAUAUUGGCUGUUAAAGGCCAGAUAAUGUCACACACACCGGUAUGUUUCCAGUCAUGUUCUUAUGGGGUCCUUCCAUCUUCCAAACACAUUUGUUUCUCUAGUCUCUCCUUUACACACUCAUAUGUCUGUAGUCUGACCCAUGUGGGGCCCUUCCGUCCAGUUCUUACUGUAAUUGUUUUUAAUGCACUAUGGCAACACCUGACAUGACCUCAACUGUGAUUUUAACAUUCGUAAUUGUAUACUGUGUCUGAGCUGU
Molecule: long non-coding RNA, 1296 nt
Organism: Megalobrama amblycephala (Wuchang bream)
Lineage: Eukaryota; Metazoa; Chordata; Actinopteri; Cypriniformes; Xenocyprididae
Exons: 3
Source: RefSeq, a predicted model, not a curated record